Molecule: ribosomal RNA, 408 nt
Filed under: uncultured bacterium
Lineage: Bacteria
Description: partial 16S ribosomal RNA
Rfam family: Bacterial small subunit ribosomal RNA
Source: RNAcentral
GACGAACGCUGGCGGCGUGCUUAACACAUGCAAGUCGAACGGAGUGGCGAACGGGUGAGUAACACGUGGGUGAUAUGCCUUGCACUUCGGGAUAAGCUUGGGAAAAUGGGUCUAAUACCCGAUAGUGCAAGAUGAGCUCGCGGCCGAGCAGCUUGUUGGUGGGGUAAUGUACUACCAAGGCGUCGACGGGUAGCCGGCCGGAGAGGGUGGCCGGCCACAUGGGUACUGAGGUAGGGCCCAGAGUCCUACAGGAGGCAGCAGUGGGGAAUAUUGCACAAUGUGCGGAAGCAUGAUGCAGCGACGCUGCGUGGGGGAUGAAGGUCUUCGGGUUGUAAACUCCUUUCGACAGGGACGCGGUACCUGUAUAAGAAGCACCGGCUAACUACGUGCCAGCAGCCGCGGUAAUUC